This is a non-coding RNA of Fukomys damarensis (Damara mole-rat), 288 nucleotides long. The record is from Rfam. NCBI's taxonomy places the organism in Eukaryota, Metazoa, Chordata, Mammalia, Rodentia, Bathyergidae.
UGUUUCCUAGGCUACAAACGGAGGACUUGUUCCUUGUUCACUCGCCUAGGGGAAAGUCCCCGGACCUUGGGCAGAGAGUGCCACGUGUUCGCGCACGUAGACUAGUCCGCACUUCAUAAAUCCAUAUUUUCCCAAAUUUGUAUAAUAUUCAGUCAUGAAAAAAUGAAUAUGAAAUAACAUUUACCUUUUAUAAGCUAAUUACAUAUCUGCAAAUUUGUAAAUUAUGUAUCUGUAUCUGGUACUUGCUAUGAAAAUAUUAAAUUUAGUGACAUAUUCAAUUGUAUUACA